RNAcentral lists this ribosomal RNA (621 nucleotides) under Pseudozyma pruni. Its description in RNAcentral is "partial large subunit ribosomal RNA". It matches the Rfam family "Eukaryotic large subunit ribosomal RNA", at positions 69 to 671 of the family's 3401-position model. The record is from RNAcentral. Lineage: Eukaryota; Fungi; Basidiomycota; Ustilaginomycetes; Ustilaginales; Ustilaginaceae.
CAANGGAUCCCUAGUAACGGCGAGUGAAGAGGGAAGAGCCCAAGAUUGAAAGCUGGCGUCUUCGGCGUCCGCAUUGUAAUCUCAAGAAGUGUUUUCCGCUUCGGACCAUGCCUAAGUCCCUUGGAAAAGGGCAUCAUAGAGGGUGAUAAUCCCGUACAUGGCAUGGAGCGCCCGAAGCUUUGUGAUACGCUUUCAAAGAGUCGAGUUGUUUGGGAAUGCAGCUCAAAAUGGGUGGUAAAUGCCAUCUAAGGCUAAAUAUUGGGGAGAGACCGAUAGCGAACAAGUACAGUGAUGGAAAGAUGAAAAGAACUUUGAAAAGAGAGUUAAACAGUACGUGAAAUUGCCAAAAGGGAAGGGUAGGAGGUCAGAGAUGCGUCUUGGGAUUCAGCCUUGCUUUUUGCAUGGUGUUUUUCCCAAGUUGCAGGCCAACGUCGGUUUUGGGCACUGGAGAAGGGUGGAAGGAACGUGGCACCUCUCGGGGUGUGUUAUAGCCUUCUACUGGAUACAGCGACCGAGACCGAGGACAGCAGCGUACUCGCAAGAGCGGGCCUUCGGGCACCUUUACGCUUAGGGCGUUGGCAUAAUGGCCCUCUACCACCCGUCUUGAAACACGGACCAACA